Molecule: long non-coding RNA, 213 nt
Filed under: Vigna radiata
Lineage: Eukaryota; Viridiplantae; Streptophyta; Magnoliopsida; Fabales; Fabaceae
Description: long non-coding RNA (VRAD_LNC017991)
Source: RNAcentral
AUGAAGCACUAAUAUUAUUCACUUUUUACAUUUUUCUUAAUACAAAAUUAAUUGUGUUCUUGUCUUUAAUAAUAAGUUAUGAAUAUUGUGUAAUUGUGAUGUGUGGGAUAUUGUCAAAAAAGCUCUGAAAAAAAGGUGUAUAGAAAACCUUACUCUAGAUCCAUUUUUGGUGUAAUAGUGGAAGUUAUUAUUCAGAAAAAGAAACAAAAGAAG